GGCCCCUUAGCUCAGUGGUGAGAGUUGUCGGCUUAUAAUCGAUAGGUAGCCAGUUAGAACCCAGCAGGGGCCACCG
Molecule: transfer RNA, 76 nt
Filed under: Citrobacter braakii
Lineage: Bacteria; Pseudomonadati; Pseudomonadota; Gammaproteobacteria; Enterobacterales; Enterobacteriaceae
Description: tRNA-Ile
Rfam family: tRNA
About the family: Transfer RNA (tRNA) molecules are approximately 80 nucleotides in length. Their secondary structure includes four short double-helical elements and three loops (D, anti-codon, and T loops).
Source: RNAcentral